RNAcentral lists this ribosomal RNA (127 nucleotides) under Canis lupus familiaris (dog). RNAcentral also lists the same sequence under 1 other name. Lineage: Eukaryota; Metazoa; Chordata; Mammalia; Carnivora; Canidae. The record is from RNAcentral.
GUCUAUGGCCUUAUCGCCCUGAACGUGGCCGAUCUUGUUUGAUCUCAGAAUCUAAGCAGGGUCGGGCUUGGUUAGUACCUGGAUGGGAGGAAUUUCUCCCAUGUUUGAGGACCUUCUACUUCAUACC